AUUGAACGCUGGCGGCAGGCUUAACACAUGCAAGUCGAGCGGGGUGAUGUAGCUUGCUACAUUACCUAGCGGCGGACGGGUGAGUAAUGCUUAGGAAUCUGCCUAUUAGUGGGGGACAACAUUCCGAAAGGAAUGCUAAUACCGCAUACGCCCUACGGGGGAAAGCAGGGGAUCUUCGGACCUUGCGCUAAUAGAUGAGCCUAAGUCAGAUUAGCUAGUUGGUGGGGUAAAGGCCUACCAAGGCGACGAUCUGUAGCGGGUCUGAGAGGAUGAUCCGCCACACUGGGACUGAGACACGGCCCAG
This 304-nucleotide ribosomal RNA is filed under the name uncultured bacterium. RNAcentral describes it as "bacterial SSU rRNA". It matches the Rfam family "Bacterial small subunit ribosomal RNA", at positions 30 to 334 of the family's 1533-position model. RNAcentral also lists the same sequence under 1 other name. The record is from RNAcentral.